This 291-nucleotide unclassified non-coding RNA is filed under the name uncultured fungus. Its description in RNAcentral is "partial contains small subunit ribosomal RNA, internal transcribed spacer 1, and 5.8S ribosomal RNA". The stretch from base 1 to 73 matches the Rfam family "Eukaryotic small subunit ribosomal RNA", at positions 1759 to 1831 of the family's 1831-position model. The record is from RNAcentral. Lineage: Eukaryota; Fungi.
ACAAACUUGGUCAUUUAGAGGAAGUAAAAGUCGUAACAAGGUCUCCGUAGGUGAACCUGCGGAGGGAUCAUUACAGAGUUCAUGCCCUCUCGGGCAGAUCUCCCACCCACUGUAAUCGUUACCGUGUUGCUUUGGCAGGCCGCUGGGCUACAAGCCUGGCCACCGGCUCCGGCUGGCGCGCGCCUGCCAGAGGUUCUCUAAACUCUGAGUAUCGUGUCGUCUGAGUACUAUGUAAUAGUUAAAACUUUCAACAACGGAUCUCUUGGUUCUGGCAUCGAUGAAGAACGCAGC